Molecule: long non-coding RNA, 4775 nt
Filed under: Sus scrofa (pig)
Lineage: Eukaryota; Metazoa; Chordata; Mammalia; Artiodactyla; Suidae
Description: lncRNA (ENSSSCG00050031133.1)
Source: RNAcentral
UUUUUUUUUUUUUUUUUUUCCCUUUAAUGAGCAGUAAUCUUUUGAUGUUUGAUUACCUAGGUUUUUUGUUUUUGUUUCACAAAACUCCUAAAUAUCCUGGUCCUUCCCUUACUUCUUCAGAACUGUUCUCAGAGCUCUUUGAGAGGCUGUCACCCUGGGCUAUAGUCCUCAGUAAAGUCACUGAGUGACACAUAAUUCUCAGGUUUUAGGUUGUGCUUUUUUUUUUUUAAUUUUUUUUCCAGUGGACAACUAUGAGGAACUGAAUCCAAAGAUUCUGAUUGUUUGUUAUUAGAAGAAUGGAACUUCCUCCACCAUUUACUUAUAGCCAUUCUACUCUACAAUUUUUAUGGUAAUGACCAGAUUUGUAUCUCCAGCUUAGAAGUCCCUUCCCUCCAAAUUUCUUUUCCAUCUCAGUGUGUGUCAUCUCCACUGGAAUAUCUCAGGGACAUUUAAAACAUGGUGUGUCCAGGAGUUCCCGUCAUGGCGCAGUGGAUAACGAAUCUGACUAGGAACCAUGAGGUUGCGGGUUCGAUCCCUGCCCUUGCUCAGUGGGUUAAGGAUCCAGCGUUGCCGUGAGCUGUGGUGUAGGUUGCAGACGUGUCUCGGAUCCCGCGUUGCUGUGGCUCUGGUGUAGGCUGGAGACUGCGGCUCCUAUUCGACCCGUAGCCUGGGAACCUCCUUAUGCCAUGGGAAGUGGCCCUAGAAAAGGCAAAAAGACAAAAACAACAAUAACAACAAAGACAAAAAACAUGGUGUGUCCAAAAGAGAACUCUUAAUUCUAUUCUCACCCCUCCCUGUCACUGUAAAUGGCACUAACUAGUACCUUAGGUAAGAAGCGUGUGAACAAUGACCUUGAUGUGGUCUUAACUCUGCCUUUUCUCUCCCCACUCUUAUCCAGCCCUUAACAAGCCUUGCUGAGCCUUCAUCCAAAAUAAAGCAAAUUCUUCUCUCCAUCUCCUUAAUGUACUUCAUUGGUAACGAUCCCUACUACUUCUUGACAUUAGUACUGAAACAACGUUUCCUUUGUCCUCUGUACUGCUUCUCUUAUUCCUUCCAAUCAAAGGAGUUUCUUAAAAUACAUAUUGGAUCAUCCUAUUCCAUAUAUACAUAAAACCAUUCAGUGGCUUUCCACUUUAUUAGAAUAAAAUUCCAAAUCCUUUUUAUGGCUUAUCAAGUAUUGCUUCCCUCUCUAAUAGCUCUUAAAUACCCCCAGCCUCAGCAAUCUUUUAGCAUCUGCAACACAAAUUCUUUAUGGGCUCAGAACUUUGCACCUCUUGUUCUUUCUUCCUGAUACGUGGUUUUCCCUUAGUCUUUUCAAUAUUCUGACCUCUGUUCAAAUAUUAUUUCCUUGGAGAGACUUUUCCUGACCAUAUUAUUUGAAGAGCUGCCUCCUCUAAUCCCAGUGCUUUGCUUUUUUCAUAAUCUACAUUAUCACAACCACUGUUUAAUUUAAAAAUAAUUUUUACCUCUUGCUAACACUUCCUCAUGAAAUUUUGUUCCACCAGGUAAAUUAUGUUUUAAAAAAUUAAAAAAAAAUGUGGAAAUGAAUCCAGCUGGGAACCAUGGGGUUGUGGGUUCAAUCCCUGGCCUCCCUUGCUGUGGGCUGUGGUGUGGGUCGCAGAUGCGGCUUGGAUCUGGUGUUGCUAUGGCUGUGGUGCAGGCGGGUGGCUACAGGUCUGAUUCCACCCCUGGCCUGGGAACCUCCAUAUGCUGCAGGUGUGGCCCUAAAAAGACAAAAGACAAAAAUAAAUAAAUAAAUAAAUAAAUAAAUAAAUAAAAUAACAACCAUAACAACACAUACUGGCUUUCUGUCUCUAAAAAUGAAACAAAACAAAACAAAAUCUCCUACAUAUACCUGUUACAUUAAAUUAAAGAUAUGUUAGAGAGAAUGGAUCCUUCUGGUGAAAAGACUAAUAAUGGCUUGAGUCCCAAAGGCAAUCGUCCGCUUGUUUUUUGAUAACUUAGUCCAAAAACUUUGGGAUCUUUAUGCCACUACUUCCUAUUACUUCAAAAAUAAAUUGCAGGUCACAGUAAAGGUACUACUUUCCUAAAUAUACCAAAAAAUUACGACAGAUAGAGUUUCUAAUACAAGUGCCCGCUAUCUUUUACAAAGCCGGUUCAGGAAGGCAGCCACAAAAGCUCGUCUUUCUUUCCUCCAGCAGCAUCCGCAGAGCACCUAUAGGCGAGCAGUAGCAUUGCGGUUAAAGGUUCAGGAUUUGGGGAUUAAGGGUUCAAGAUUCUCCUCAGCUUUGUAUAAUCAUGUGUCUCAGAACAAAUUAGUUUCUUUAUCCUUAAAAUAAGGUUAAUAUAAUAUCAAUCUCAUAGGGUUGUGGUGAGGAAUAAGAAGACAAAAUGAGUAAAAAGUCCACCACUAAAAUCUAAAAAAAAUGUUAGCUUUUCCACAGAAUAAUGUAUCCUGAGGAGCAUACAUUUAAGAUAGCAUGCAUUAGAGUUUGUGUUGAGGUACAGCCGCAAUGAACCCGGCUAGUAUCCAUGAGGAUAUGGGUUUGAUCCUUGGCCUCGCUCAGUGGGUCAAGGAUAUGACAUUGCCUUGAGAUGUGGUAUAGGUGGCAGAAUGAGGUUCAGAUCCUGCAUUGCUGUGGCUGUGGUAUAUAGGCCAGCCCUGGCCUGGGAACUUUCAGAAGCUACAGGUGUGGCCUUAAAAACCAAAAAAAAAAAAGAGAUAGCCUGCAUCUGAGAAUAUAAGUUGUUUUAGGAGAAGAUGAAAGUGUACCUGGUGGAGUGGAUGGAGUUAAAUAACCUUGGUUAUUCUAAGGAUAAACUGUGCCCCUUCUCCACUCUUAGAAAUAGCUUUAUAGAGAUAUAAUUUGCACAGCAUAAAAUUCACCCAUUUAAGUGAUGAUUGAAUGACUUCAAGGAAAUUUACAAAGCAACCAUUGCCAAAUUCUAAUAUGAAACAUAUUUAUUGUCCCCCAAAUAACCCUCAUGCCUAUUUAUGAGCAUUCCUCCUCACACCCCCAGACCCAGGCAAUUUCUGGCUUACUUUCUAUCUAGAUUUGCCUUUUCCACAUAUUUCAUAUAAAUGGAAUUGUACAACAUGUGGUCUUCAAUGUCUGGCUUCGUCAUGUCAUAUAAGGUGAAUGUCAGCCCUGUGAUGGCAUGUAUCAAUUUUUAAUUCAUUUUCAUUGCUAAAUAACAUUCCAUUCUAUAAAUACACAAUAUUGUUCUAUUUGGAAGUUGACUGACAUUUGAGUUGUUUCCAGUUUUUGACUACUACCUUAAUGGUAUCAUAAACACUUUUGCUUGCAAGUGUUUUUCUAGACAUUUUCAUUUCUUUUGGGUACAGUCUUAGAAUCUCCCUUCUCCAUUUUAAGUGAAGGCUCUGCCCCUGACAGACUUCAAUGCCAUUUGUUCAGGAGAGGAACAGAGCUCUGAUUCUCCUUCACAUGUAACUACUGAGUCAGUUCAUACAAUGAAGUGGAGAGAGAACGUCAGUUCUUGUCUCUGCCCCCCUUCUCUCUAACUUUGCUUGCGAGCUUCGGAGAGAGUAUGUACCUCUCAACCUCUAGAUUUCUCCCUUUGUGAAACAAAGGCAGGAACUAGAUGUUCUCUGAAUUAUCUUCUAUCUUUAAAAGCUUACAAUACUUUCUGUUACUAAAGAAUUUAAAAACAAACCAAAACACAAUGAAUCAUCUCUGUUGCCACUAGCGUUUUUCUGGGCUGGCAUUUUGUGGGAAAUCUGCACCAGUUACAAAAGAAUGAUACAGAAAGUGAAUGAUACAAAAAGUAUUUGUCUGCUGUCUGGGGCACAUCCAGGAUUUACAAGUCUGCAUGCUACACAUGUCUCUGCUUUUGAGGUUCUUCUUGCAUAUCACUAUAUUUCUCUGACCAUAUUUUCUAAGACAGUCAUUUCAUUCAAAGUUAACUGGGCAGAAAACAAACAUCACUACCACACAAUAGGGUGGUUUAUUUUAUCAAACACCUUAAAAAUAUAAAUCCAAGUAAUGACCAUUACUCUCAGUCAUCUCAGUGAGUAGACUUUUUUUUUUCUUUCAUUUUUUUCUGACAUUUCUCAGAGCAUACUGGGAUAUUUCACUUUGGAAUUGCUCUCCAAGGGGGUGGCAGAGACAACUUUUAAAACCCAUUUUUAAAACUUAUUAAAAUUCAACAUAUAGCAAAUAUAUAAAGACUAUUAAAGUGAACAUGCAUGUACCAAUCACAAAGCUUUAAAAAGUUGACUACCAAUGCUAUGGAGAUUAUUUGCACCUCUCCUUAAUCAUGUCCACCUCUGUUGACUCCUCUGUCCUUAACCUCAGUGUUUUCCUGCAUUUAAUCAAUAUAUAUUUAUAUUUAUGCUUUCCUACACACAUAUGUUGUUCUAAGUAAUAGUUGGUGCUGUUUUUUUUCAGGUUUAAAUAUUUCCAUAGACAGUAUCACACUAUACGUAUUCUUUAGUAACUUUCUAUUUUCACUCAAUAUUUUGUUAGAUUUAUCCAUAGUGAUAUGUGGAUUCUUCAUCAAUAUUCACAGAGUAGAUCAUCAUAUUGUUUUAAACAAGCCUCUACUAGGUUCAUCCGUAUUCUUUUUUUUAAGAUUCCACAUAUAAGUGAUAUCAUAUGAUGUUUGCUUUUAUUGUCCGACUGAUUUCAUUUACUGUGAUAGUUUCUAGUUCUACCCAUGGUUGCUGCAAAUGACAUUAUUUCAUUCUCUUUUGUGGCUGAGUAAUAUUCCAUUGUGUCUAUGUACCACAGACUAGCAGACUUUGAACUCAAACUUAUGGUUGCCAAAGGGGACAGUUGGGGAGGGGCACAGAC